Molecule: ribosomal RNA, 229 nt
Filed under: uncultured bacterium
Lineage: Bacteria
Description: partial 16S ribosomal RNA
Rfam family: Bacterial small subunit ribosomal RNA
Source: RNAcentral
UGCGUAGGCGGAUUUAUAAGUCAGUGGUGAAAUCCUACAGCUUAACUGUAGAACUGCCAUUGAUACUGUAGAUCUUGAGUACGGUUGAGGUGGGCGGAAUGUGUCAUGUAGCGGUGAAAUGCUUAGAUAUGACACAGAACACCAAUUGCGAAGGCAGCUCGCUAAACCGUAACUGACGCUGAGGCACGAAAGCGUGGGGAGCGAACAGGAUUAGAUACCCUGGUAGUCC